Long non-coding RNA from Diprion similis, 1359 nucleotides. RefSeq lists it as uncharacterized. NCBI's taxonomy places the organism in Eukaryota, Metazoa, Arthropoda, Insecta, Hymenoptera, Diprionidae. The record is from RefSeq and is a predicted model, not a curated record. The transcript is spliced from 3 exons.
CAUUCAUAAUUUGGUUAGUAUUUGAAUUGAUUAUUCCGAAAUGUUGUGAAUUUUAUUUUAAUGUUUCUCCGUCAUUUCAUUACAGUCUGUGAAUAUCAUAAUAUAUUUACUAAGAUUUGUUCGGAUGCCUUUCAAUAGAAAAUAGAUGGGGUACAAAUAAAUAGUAUAAUGGACGAUAUGCAAUUCGAACAAAUUAUACGUAGGAGGUAUUGAGUAAUUUGUGAAGCAAACUUCCUGGCUUCAUUAGAUUCGUGAUGAAUUUGAUUUUGGAAUGUAGUGCUAAACUUAUUGAGUAUCGAACGGCAUAGAAAUCAACUCACAGAAUUUGGAAGGGAGCAGUGUAAUGAUUUACAAUGAAUAUUACAAUGUAUAUUUUACUACUGGACUUUUUUAAUAGUGAUAAACGAUAUUAUAUAGUUGUUUCUUUGUUAUAACAGUCUUUGUUAAGCGAAACAUGAAAAUGUAUAUUGUACGAAAUUUAGAUGUUUACCAACAUUUAUAUUUUUACUAUAUGAUUUGUAAAAGUGGUGGUCAAUAUUUUACGAGUUUGUAUCUAGGUGAGUUUAUUUACAAUUUACGAAACAUAUAUAUAAUAUAACUACUGUUGCCAGAUAUAGUAUUACAAUAUCCUAUCAAAACGAAUAUCAUAUGUCGAUUAUUAGUUCUACGUAUACCUGUACUUAUAUACAAAGAUGUUCACUUAUAGUGCCACGUCAGACAAUAUUUGUUGCUACUGCAACAAACAUGAUACACUUGAUUAACCAUGGAAAUUCGAUUUGUCUAUUUUUCAAAUAUCUCAUCCAUGAACUUUAAAAUAUUGCGUAUGAUUGUAUUAUAUUUCGAUCAACUUUUUUCGUUUUGUGAAUUUGUGAUGAAAUAAUCAAACAGUCGGUUGAUGAAAUAAAUAACACUCGCGUGAUUACCUUACCCGUUCGGCUAUAUUUUAGUGAAAUUGUAAAAAUAUUUAAUCAAUAUUUUGAUUUGAUUUAUACGUAUAUUCUAUACAUACGUAUUAAUACUUUCAAUAUAUGCUUUAGAGUGUUAUCUAUAUUCAGUUUAUGUCAGAUUGUUUAAAGUAUAAAUUCUUACUUAAAUACAGUCAUUCUUUGUUAAUGCGUACAAGUCUAUGAAUACAGUUAUAGCUAUAUAGAAGUCUAUUAUUUCCUGUUAGUAAUCAUAUAAUAUUUUUUUAAAAUCGUCUUGAUACUGAGAAAAAGUACUUUUUUUUAAUAACGAAAACAAUUGCUUUACUCACGCCUACCGAAUUAUUUUGCCUGGGCAAUCAGCAUAAGCAAAUACCAUUGACUCUUCCAAAAAAACUUAUUGGUCAGAAUCAAGUAAAAAUAGUACUGAAUUACG